UGCUACUAUGUACGUGGCAGGUUUCCGGU
Molecule: non-coding RNA, 29 nt
Filed under: Rattus norvegicus (Norway rat)
Lineage: Eukaryota; Metazoa; Chordata; Mammalia; Rodentia; Muridae
Source: RNAcentral